Molecule: ribosomal RNA, 502 nt
Filed under: uncultured bacterium
Lineage: Bacteria
Description: partial 16S ribosomal RNA
Rfam family: Bacterial small subunit ribosomal RNA
Source: RNAcentral
GAUGAACGCUAGCGGCAGGCCUAACACAUGCAAGUCGAGGGGCAGCACAGAAACAGCAAUGUUUUGGUGGCGACCGGCGGACGGGUGCGUAACGCGUAUGCAACCUACCUUUAACAGGGGGAUAACGGAGAGAAAUUUCCACUAAUACCCCAUAACAUCGAUCAAGGCAUCUUGAUUGGUUGAAAACUCCGGUGGUUAAAGAUGGGCAUGCGUUGUAUUAGGUAGUUGGUGAGGUAAUGGCUCACCAAGCCUACGAUACAUAGGGGGACUGAGAUGUUAGCCCCCCACACUGGUACUGAGACACGGACCAGACUCCUACGGGAGGCAGCAGUGAGGAAUAUUGGUCAAUGGGGGCAACCCUGAGCCAGCCAUGCCGCGUGCAGGAAGACGGCUCUAUGAGUUGUAAACUGCUUUUAAACAGGGAUAAAGCACAGUAUGUAUACUGUGUUGAAGGUACUGUAAGAAUAAGGAUCGGCUAACUCCGUGCCAGCCGCCGCGGUAA